Molecule: ribosomal RNA, 253 nt
Filed under: uncultured bacterium
Lineage: Bacteria
Description: partial 16S ribosomal RNA
Rfam family: Bacterial small subunit ribosomal RNA
Source: RNAcentral
UACGUAGGUGGCAAGCGUUAUCCGGAUUUACUGGGUGUAAAGGGCGUGUAGGCGGGGACGCAAGUCAGAUGUGAAAACCACGGGCUCAACCUGUGGCCUGCAUUUGAAACUGUGUUUCUUGAGUACUGGAGAGGCAGACGGAAUUCCUAGUGUGGCGGUGAAAUGCGUAGAUAUUAGGAGGAACACCAGUGGCGAAGGCGGUCUGCUGGACAGCAACUGACGCUGAGGCGCGAAAGCGUGGGGAGCAAACAGG